UAGGGGCCAUUUUUUAACUUUGCCCAAGGGGCCCGAAAAAUAUAGAGCCGGCCCUGCUCGAGCGGCGUCGCACCCGGCACCCAUCUCCCCGGUGACUCCUCCUCCGAAGACGAGCGCUGCGGGAUCUCCUCUCGUCGCCGGUGAGUGCCGUUGGAGCGGCAUGGCAGUAGACUCGCGUGGUUGCCUCCGUCGGUUGAUGGAUUGGAGACGAAGCGAUUCAGUCCGCUGGAACCUUGUCAUUUCGUUCGUGGUGUGGGUUCAAGCGUACAGGCAGCCCAUAGUGGAUUCCUCUGUUUGGCCCAUGUGCAUGUGAUGCAGCUGCUGCUUAUUAAUCUUAGUUCGUAUAUUUCAUCUUUUUAGCAGAUUAUGAGUGUUCUAACAACACUUCCACUAGUGAUUUUAUUCCUGCUUUAGAUCUGCUAAAACUAGUAUAUGUAUUUUAGUAUUGUUUCUGUGGAGUGUCGAUGUAUUCCAGAUCCUAAGUUGAUGUGAUAUACUUUCACGUUUCUCACGUGUCGAG
Molecule: long non-coding RNA, 520 nt
Filed under: Hordeum vulgare
Lineage: Eukaryota; Viridiplantae; Streptophyta; Magnoliopsida; Poales; Poaceae
Description: long non-coding RNA (HVUL_LNC012385)
Source: RNAcentral